CAGCCUGCCAGUGACUCUGUUCAACGGCCGCGGUAUCCUAACCGUGCGAAGGUAGCGUAAUAUUGUUCUUUAAAUGUGGACUAGUAUGAAUGGCACUACGAGGGUUAUACUGUCUCCUUUUUCUAAUCAGUGAAACUAAUUUUCCCGUGAAGAAGCGGGAAUAAAAAUAUAAGACGAGAAGACCCUAUGGAGCUUUAAACAACCCAGCAAUUACUUCUAAAAUUUUAAAUUUCAGAAUAUUCAUUUUCUAAGUAAUAUGUCUGCAAGUUUUUGGUUGGGGUGACCAUGGAGAAUAACACAACCUCCAUAUUGAAUGAAUUCCCUUCUAAGCUAAAAAUUACUUAUUGAAGCAUCAAUACACUGACAUCUAUUGACCCAAUAUAUUUGAUCAACGAACCAAGUUACCCUAGGGAUAACAGCGCAAUCCACUUCAAGAGCCCCUAUCGACAAGUGGGUUUACGACCUCGAUGUUGGAUCAGGGUAUCCCAGUGGCGCAGCCCUACUAAAGGUUCGU
RNAcentral lists this ribosomal RNA (514 nucleotides) under Rhinella cf. paraguayensis RB-2011. Its description in RNAcentral is "partial 16S ribosomal RNA". It matches the Rfam family "Bacterial large subunit ribosomal RNA", at positions 1902 to 2576 of the family's 2925-position model. The record is from RNAcentral. Lineage: Eukaryota; Metazoa; Chordata; Amphibia; Anura; Bufonidae.